CAGCCAUUGGGUAACAACGUGCUGAAUCCUCCUCACGCUCACAAAUGCCCCAUACUGCUCAUGUCCUGCUGUAAUCAUUUUUUCUUCCCAUCGAAAGCAAUGGCUUUUUCAGUCGUCUUUUCUAAGAGUCAACAUUGUAAUGAAUAAGAGGAGCAAGACGCUCAAGCUACCUGGCUCAUGAAAUGAGUUUGGCUUGCUGUUAAUCUAUGUUCACGUACACCUUGUAUCCAACACGUAGUGAUAGCAGUACAUUAUACAUUAAUCUACCUAACAAUAGAUGUCCUAAUCAACUUUUUAAAACUACAGUUUGUUACAUGAAAUCUGUGGAGUUAAAAAGUUUAAAUGACUUCAUUUAAAGCUAGUUUGUCUUUUUAAUGUAGAAAUGUCACCAUUUCAUUGUUCCAGACUCAAAUCUAUGUUUUCCUUGUAAUUAUUUAAACAAUUCUGUUUGAAGGUGUCA
Amphiprion ocellaris (clown anemonefish) is the source of this 460-nucleotide long non-coding RNA. RefSeq lists it as uncharacterized. The transcript has 2 exons. Lineage: Eukaryota; Metazoa; Chordata; Actinopteri; Pomacentridae. The record is from RefSeq and is a predicted model, not a curated record.